This 1341-nucleotide long non-coding RNA is filed under the name Homo sapiens (human). RNAcentral describes it as "HSALNT0144786". Lineage: Eukaryota; Metazoa; Chordata; Mammalia; Primates; Hominidae. The record is from RNAcentral.
GAGGCAGUGAGGUACUAUGGGAAGGCUCCCAGGGAUGAAACGGGAACCAUUUGUCUAAUGGUGACAUCCUAUCUGUGUAAAUCUACUCUAAUAGAGAUUCUGUGUCCUGCACAGCAGCUGCAAGUGAGGAUCCUACCAUGAGAGCAUCUCUGCCCAUCAGCCGCAGCCCAGAGAGAACACCGUGGGAGGUGCACCCUGACUGUAGAGUGCCACUCCUGCAGUUUGGACCUCAUUGCUUUGCCGACCUGAGGCCCAUGCAAGCCCUUCCAUGCGGCAGAGCCUCUUGACGGCUCCUCCCAACUCCCUUAGUCAUGAACUCCCCCUCCCCCUCCAUCUCCAAGGCAGUGCUGGCUUCUCUAUUUUGCUCAGUGUGGGCAUCACUUUCUCUCUGCUUUUAGGAGGCAUCCCUGCAGCAUUUUAGCAGCGUCUCCCAGGGAGUUUGCUAUGGUAUUAAAUCCUGCCUCCCAGGGGCGGGCACCGAUAUUGAUACUUUCCCUUAUACUACUUUAUGUUCUGUCUCCUUGCCUAAGCAGCCUGAGGUCCACUCUCAGGCACAUACCCAGGCUCCUCUCAGCAUGGACCCUCUACAAACACCUGGCAGCUCCCCCACCUUGUCAGACAGCGGCAGCCCCAUGCUGGCCAGGGUUAGGGGAUGUUGUCAGCUCCAGUGGCCUGGGCUGGUUGAGUAGCUCUUUCUUUUUCUGGGGAUCAGUACUCUGAAGUCCCCCAGGUGCCCACAGAAAGAAGUCACCUUCUCUAGUGUCAGCCUUGGCAGUUGUAAGGCCAUGCUGUGGCUCUUCAUCUGCUGUCUAUUUCUGUUUUAUUUUCAUUUGGUUCAAAACAGGGCAUGGAGAAGAAUUCGCCACCCUACAACAGUCUGCUUUUAUCAUGCAACUUGCUAAUAAUACCUACCCUUCCGGGUGGUUAUGAGGGUGAUGAUAUGGAUUGUGUAAAGUGUCAAUAUAUAAUAGAUGACAUGACAGGUACAUUUUAGACCACUCUCACCCCAGCACCAAAUUAAACAUGAGAGUGGAACUACCUGGGCCCCCCAGGGCCUACCAAAAGCCUAGAACUGAUCAGCUACUAGCACCAGAAUGGGGUGAACCAGGACCCAAACCUAGAAGCAAACUUGCCCUCUGGAGGAACCAGGUCUAAGGAGACACAAGCCUUGACAUAAAGGAACAGAGUGGGGGUCUUCUGGUCUGGCCAGCAGAGUCUGCACUCUUAUUAGCUUUUUAUUUUAUUUCAUUUCAUUUCAUUUCAUUUCAUUUCAUUUCAUUUCAUUUCAUUUCAUUUUAUUUUAUUUUAUUUUAUUCUAUUCUACCUAAUAAACUACCUCAA